Non-coding RNA from Paramuricea clavata, 927 nucleotides. The record is from the annotation of a GenBank genome assembly. NCBI's taxonomy places the organism in Eukaryota, Metazoa, Cnidaria, Anthozoa, Malacalcyonacea, Plexauridae.
UGAAUCUAUCGAACCUAUAGUCAGCAGCCAAUCAACUCUUUCCUUCCAAUUUUGAAAGUUAUGUGUGGAAUGAACCCGAAAAACCCCGCCAAUUUCACCAGAGGGUUAUUCAAAACAGGCGAAAAUAACUACCCUCUGGCUCCAGGGUAAGCUGGAUAACGAAUUUAGCCUGUUUUUCACUAGUUCAAAUUUUGCGCCGAGGCGAAUUUUUCUUUGUCUUGCAUGUAAUUCCUCGGGCUGAACUAAUUAAAAAAGACAAAGAAAAAAUCCGCUCCGCAAAAUGCCGCCUAGUGGAAAACCGGCUCUUGAGAUUUAAUAUCAUUUUCAAUGCACUAAUAAAUUUGAGUCUUUUUAGAAAUGUCAAAGUACAAAGAAUGUUAUAGCUAUAAAUGGCUUACAGAAAGCUCAAGAAAUGAGAAUUUCGCCAGUGGUCAUACUCGUUACAAUGACGAAACCCUUAGUAAUGGAUGGUAUAGAUUUGGUGGUGGUGCUGGGACAAAAAUGCCAACAACGUGUGCAAGGCAUCGACAUUGUGGAGGCGGUGGUGCUGGUUGGAUGAACGGUACCCAUCCAACGGUUGCCGAGGGCAAAGUUGCGCGCAAGGUUUGUUACAACACUGGUCCUCCCGUCUGUUGUUGGCAAAUCGCAAUCAAUCAUAUUGAAGUGAUCAACUGUGGUCAGUAUUACGUAUACAAAUUAGAGCCGGCUAAAUGUGGGCCUUGUAGAUAUUGUGGUACUAAUUAAGCAGCAAUUCACUCGUUUUUGAAAUAAAAAUACUUCUGAAACUUCUAUAUAUUAAUUGCUCAUACCAAAUUGAAACUAUUCAAAUUUCUCAAAAUGACUGUGUAGAAAUAGAAGUGUAGUUGUAAGCACAACUCACAUUAUAACAACCACAAUUAAAUAAAGCAAAUUAAAUUUGAAAUCCAG